RNAcentral lists this unclassified non-coding RNA (329 nucleotides) under soil metagenome. RNAcentral describes it as "partial contains 5.8S ribosomal RNA, internal transcribed spacer 2, and large subunit ribosomal RNA". The stretch from base 1 to 120 matches the Rfam family "5.8S ribosomal RNA", at positions 35 to 154 of the family's 154-position model. The record is from RNAcentral.
GAUGAAGAACGCAGCGAAAUGCGAUAAGUAAUGUGAAUUGCAGAAUUCAGUGAAUCAUCGAAUCUUUGAACGCACAUUGCGCCCCCUGGUAUUCCGGGGGGCAUGCCUGUCCGAGCGUCUUUACAACCCUCAAGCUCAGCUUGGUGUUGGGCCCCGCCGCCCCGGCGGGCCCUAAAGUCAGUGGCGGUGCCGUCCGGCUCCGAGCGUAGUAAUUCUUCUCGCUCUGGAGGUCCGGUCGUGUGCUCGCCAGCAACCCCCAAUUUUUUUCAGGUUGACCUCGGAUCAGGUAGGGAUACCCGCUGAACUUAAGCAUAUCAAUAAGCGGAGGA